Molecule: long non-coding RNA, 4631 nt
Filed under: Mytilus galloprovincialis (Mediterranean mussel)
Lineage: Eukaryota; Metazoa; Mollusca; Bivalvia; Mytilida; Mytilidae
Source: RNAcentral
AGAUAUCAACAUUUAUCCAUAUAUAGCCAUAAAAAAACCGCCAAAUAUUACAAAUUCAGACCCGAUGUGGAGACUUAGAAUUGGUGGGUUUCGUUAAAGCGUUGGGAGUUAUUCCUCUGGUGUAUGGAGUAGUAAUCUGUACAAUUGCAGUCCUUGGUUUUGUUAACACAUAUUAUAAUUCAAGAUGUUUGACAAUGAUGGUAUGUAUUUGUUUAAAUUGUUGAUUAUUUUAUUAGAGACUGCUAAAGUAAGCUGUAAACAUGACAUUUACAGAUGAGUAUAGUUUUUUCUGCACCAAAUGCACAUGUCAACAAGAAAUGUCUCUUCAGUGAUGCUGGAGACUAAAAUGUAAUACUUAAAAAGUUUAUAAAUAAAAAAUGACAUAUAUUGAAGCCAAAGCCAGGCCAUUCAAUGUGUUGCAUGAGGGAGAUUUAUUCCUUAAGUUUUAUGCAAGCAAUUAAUGUGAAAAUGUUAGGAAAAUCUUAUUACGAAUAAUUAUCUGAAUAGUUCGCAAUACAAAAAACAAGUAAAACUUAUUUAUGACAACAGUUGACAAAACACUUACCGUUUAUUAAGAUAUAAAAGGGCGGAAUGAUAUUGUGAGAAAAUCCAACAAUCAAAACUUUUGACAUAAUUUAUUCGGUAACAAUAAACGAAAAUUAUAUAAGGCACGCAAUCCUGUUUGUGCAUAUAUGUUUUCGUGUCUGAGGAAAAUACAGUAAUGAAACACAUGGUCGAUAGCAGUAACAUUUGAAACGUUGAGAAAGUAGAUUUCUAAUAUGAAUGCAUUUUUUUUCUUAACAGAAAGGUUAUCACUGUACUGCAUCAAGAUGCAUUUUCAACAAUUAAUCUCUCUUCAGUGACUCUCGAGGCAAAACAAAUUUGAAAUUUGAAAACUUUCAAAAAACUCGAAGUGCUGAACCAAAUAGGACCAUAAGUAUAUACAACAAAAUCGACCAAGAUUUUGAAACUAUACAUGAGGGGUUUCAGUCCUGAAGUUAGAAUAAUUUCCAAAAACAAGAUCCAUAUUUAAAAAUAGGUAAAGCUAGUACGUUACUGGGUUGGUGAAACCCUCGGAAACUAACAAUAUCACAGCAGAGGCAUGAACCUAGUGGUAAAAGCAAAAUUUAUAAAUCGUUCUAAAUUAAUUGUACCAAAAAAUAGAAAGUUGAAUAUCCAAAUUCAUACAUGGAUUGAAAGCUACGAAUAAGGGAGAUAUAUCACCUUACUUUUGAAGAAUUAACAAAGUUGUAUUACCACAAUUCCAUUUAACACUGUUAGAUUCGAUGGAAAUCUUUGUGUUGACAUUUGUCUCUAUAUAAUACCAACUAUAUUUUUUUAUGAAUAAGAAUUUGUACCUACUUUCACUCUUAUCUGAAAACACUUGUUUGUAUUGUCAGACAUGUCACUAAAAAAAUAAAAGCUAUAAUUGUUUGUUACAGUAUGUGGUAGCUCUGAGUAUACUGAUGGUAACACAGAUCAUUGGAGUUGUGCUUUUUUCCUCUUUUCAAACUGUCGUACGUAUUUAUGAUGUUAAUGGAGUUUGUCGACGCUGUUUUACUCACAUUAAAAACAUUCUUAGAUAAUUCAAUAAAACUACUUUUGUGAAAACAAUUUGUACAAAACGGUUUUACGUGGUUGAAAUGGCACCGUUAAUUUUAAACUUAAAUUUUAAUCGUUGAUUUUGUUGGCAUCAUAACUAAAAAAAGGAUUUAUUAUUUGAUCAAUUAUUCUGUUUCCUUUUUUUAACCUAUUUGAAGACUUACUUUACUUUACUUCCAGCUGAACAAAGGCGUUUAUUUGUACUUCCAUAAAAAUUUAGAUGAAUCUUAUCGAGGUUUCAGAUCCAACGAUUCUGUCAGUACUGCAUGGAACCUUGUCAUGCAACAGGUAUUCAUAUUCAUUGUAAUCAUUGUAUGAAAUUAAUAACCCGCAAGGGUCCAUAAUUGGAUUAUUUCGGUGUCUAUAUGCACUUGUUUUCUAUAUAUAUUCUAUUUCUAUUUAUAUUCUUUAUAAUUUUGUACGUUACUAUGUGAUAUUAGAUACCAAAUGUUACAUGGCUUUCAACUUUGAAAUUUUGAAAACUAACGGCUUAAUUUAUGUACAUAAUAUAAGCCUUUCGAAAAUGUUUAGUAUGUUUGCUUUUAUCAUGAAUGUUUUGUGCAUAAAGCUAAUCGAUGACGUCAUAUCAAUUUUUGAUUGUCGCCGUAACAACUUCUUAGAUUUUACCAUUUCUAUCAGAUAUUGAUAAGAAUCGUACGGUAAAACAGUAACAUAACACAUCUUGCUGUUUCAGUUCAAUUGUUGUGGAGUCAACGGAUAUACUGAUUUUAAAACGUUGCAUUCCUUCAGUGAGACAUGGGGAGAACCCUUCCACAGUUAUAUCAUGCAAAAUCCCAUUGAUUUUCCCUUGGCUUGCUGCAAUUCAAUAGAAAUUCAUGGAUGGCAAAUUCCAGGACCUUGUAACGCAACGGAUUACAUCAAUAAGAAGGUAAGAAGUUUAAUUUCAGUUAUAAUAAUAGAAUGCUGAAUACAGUUUAAAUGUAGUCCUGUCAAAAAAUAAGCUAUAGUACUUUAACAGUAGCUUCUUAACAUUCUAUAAUUGUUUACUUUUACCAAUUGUGACUUGGAUUGCGAGUUGUCUCAUUGGUACUCAUACCAAAUUUCUUAUAUCUAUUCUAAUAAUACAUCUCUUCUUUUGACGAGGGAAACAACAACAUAUUGAGAAGUUUAUUGUUAUAAAUAUAAAGAAAUGUUGCUUGUUUAUUUCUUGUGUGUUAAAGCUAAUAAUGUCAAAGGUUCGUUGGACAAAUGUAAGUGUGUUGUGAUUAUUGGUAUUUUUAUCGAAUUCAAUUGUCAACACCUGAUUCCGUUAUUAGUAAGUUAAAGCAAAGUGAUUUACACACAGUACGAUAUUACAUUGACAUUUACCGAUGAACAAAAACACAAAAAUUUCAACACGAACUGCCGUUGACAUAUUAUACGGUAAUCAAUAAGCACGGACGCAAAAAAAACUGGACAGAAAAUACGGUUAAGCUAACUAUAAAACCACGUUUAAACCACCAUAUUCUUCGAAGGGAAAUUCCCGUACGAAGACAGGUACAUGACAAUUGUUAUCAAUUCGUUUGAUUUGUUUAAGUUUUUGAUUUUGUUAUUUAAUUAAAUACUUUAGUUUGAUUUUUUUCGGAGUAUUUUUGAUAUCUUAUUUUUUUUGUACCAAGCAUGACAAUAGUAUAUCCAUUAAAACAUAGUAAUAGAAGCUAAAACAGAAAAUCACCUUGCAUGUAGUUGUAUUGACUUCUUUUAUCAACCGUUUUUUUUAAAGAUAUAUUGCUUAUUAUUCUUGAAAACGUACAUAAAUUUCCAAUACGAAUUAUCUGAAAUAGUCGACAAAUAUCCAGUAGUAAACAAAGUAUGCGUUUUCAAGACAAAAAAAAAAUACAAAUGCAUAAAUUUUACCUAUAUAUUAGCCCGAUUCAUUGUCUUCAAUUGAUAUGUGAAUGCAUUAUAUAUAAAGUCAUUAAAGAUACCAGGAUUACAAUUUUGAAUUUGGCCCAGACGAGCUUUUAGUCCACAAAAGACUCAUUAGUGACGCUUGAAACAAAAAAAAAUAUUGUAAAGGCAAAACAAAGUACGAAGUUGAAGAGCAUUGAGAACCAACAAUUCCUAAAAGUUUUGCCGAAUACAGCUGAGGAAUUCUUUAUAAUCAUUGGGUUUUUUUAAAAGGCAUCCCAUUGAGUACUUCAAAAGACAAUCAACAUCUCAUCUCAAAUAUUCCCCUUGAUUUCAGCUUGUGGUAUGUACCUUUGAAAACCCAAAACCACAAUCAAUUAAGUCUGACCUAAUUGACCUGACUAGAGUGGUCUACUUUGUGGUUCUUGUGAACUUCAUUGAUCAUGUGAUCUUUUGUAUGAUUUCUUAUUCUUGAUACUUCUUUGAUAGAAGGCAAAUGUAUCAUCGUAAUGCAUAUAGUUUGCAUAAAUAAUAAUGUAACUCCAAUCCUUGAAUCCAGCUUUUCUCUAAUUAAGUAAAUGACUCAUAUGUUCAGAAUAAAAUUCUGCGUACAAAUGGACAUCACAUGUUUCAUUAUAUAUCAACAUAUUUUCUGGUUUUGGGUCAUUUGUUUUUCUACAUGUUAACCUUUCAUUUGAAUAACUGUGCAAAAGUGAAUACUUCCGCGGGCCAACAGUCCUUCGCGUUAACAGUGGAAUAUGGUUACCAUUUUACUUUAGCCCUGAAUUAUCGCAUAUUAGCAUGAUAAGCGAUACUUUAGUUUAACUGUGUCGUAUUUUGUCGUUCCCAUCGCACUUUGAAGUUUUUCUUAUAAAUAAUCCUUUUGUCAAUUGUAUCAGUAAUGCAAACAAUGCGCGCAUUGAAAUUAGAAACAAUAAUGUAAACGCACAUAUUCAACCAACAUAGACAUACAAGUAUACACUGAAUAAAUAGGAACAAACGGAACUUAACCAUCAGUUUAACUAAAGAAAAUUAAAUCCUGACAUAGAUAUUAUCAUGUGGAAGUUUUUAAUCUGUCAUUUAUGCAUUUUCCCCAUUUGUCGAUUUUCGUUGCAGGGUUGUGUGGAUUUGUUUUGGGAGACAGCAGAUGUAUACCAACCUUAUGUCGUAGCUAUUGU